CGAAGAGAGGCGGCUGCAACCAGGGCCGCGUCGGCCCUCCCCGGCCACUCCACUUUUAUAGGCGUAGGAAGCGAGUGUGGCCCGGACACCGGAGUCCCCGCCUCUCCGCGCCCCCCGCGCGCCCGGCCCACCCCGGCCCGCUCCCGGGCGCUGCCUUACUCCGGGCCCCGGGCGCCCGCUCCGCGCCGCGUCUGCGAACCGGUGACCUGGUUUCCCCUCCAGCCCUCCCGGCGGUCCGACUCGCGCGGCGGCGGCGGUGGCGGCGGCGGCAGCCAAGAGCAGGCAAACCCGGCUCCGCCAGGGGCGCAGCGAGGAAAUGGCCUCCCGGCCGCACGCCCCGCCGCCGCCGCCGCCGCUGCCGACCGGGGCCGCCUGGCUGGCACCCGACGCCCCCCGCCCGGCUCGGGGCCAGCGCUGUGAAGUGUCCGCCAGUCCCGGCUCGCGGACCACUACCCGGCGGGCUGCACACACGCCGCCCGGGGCUGGCCGCCUCCGCACCUGCCGCCCCAGCUUCUUGUGAGCAUCUCACGGAAAGGGGCGAGAAGCCACCACCCCUGCUGACAGCAUUAACAACCACAACUGUCAAGAAGCCUAGAAUUGUUCCCGGCGCCUGGAUGCAGUGUUUCAGCGCGCUUCAAGAGGAAAAAUCGCAGACCUCGCGGCCCCCUGGUGAGAGGGAAGGAUCUCUUCCUUCAGACUCCACGGACCCUGUUUCCCCUGGGUCCUUGCCUCUAACUCCGUGCUUUAUUCUUCCCUCGUAAUGAGGCUGCACCAUAGGACUUGCAGUUUUUGUAGCUGGAGAGAAGUUGUUCUCCUUUGCAGGGAAGUUCCCGGGCUUUGCUCCAAAGCUGCCCCGGGAUGUUUUGGUUGGUUUGGAGGAAAGCUGGGGAGUCUGCACCAUUUAUUCCAAACAGGCGGCCCCCUGGUGGCUAACUGUGGGUGAAAAAGCUGGCCACGGAGGAAAAAGCCCGGCUCUGAAAGGCCACAACAGUUGACAGCCGGCUCUUCGCAGGGACCACGGAGCUGCGUGAACAAUUUUGUAACAAAGAGAGAGGGUGCUGUCAAUCUUCCUUCACAAAGGUGGAUAAAGAGCCCUAAAGCUUGCUGGAACUUUUCCUUUUUUCUCUUCUUGAGUAUAACUUGGAGCUAAAUUCCUCCUUGAGAAGGAAACAUCAUACAGAGAAUGAAUUACGUACAACAAAAACUGUUGCUUCCCUUUGUUCAAAUGGCUUUGUUUUUCUGCUCUCAUUUUGCCUGGAAACUUGUGAAAUAAAGAGUAAAUUAAAGCAUUAAAUAAAUAACGUGACAUUAUGCAAACAAUUCAUGAAACUGUGAUUGUAAUAAUGUUAUAUGACAAUGGGGGAGGGCAAUUUUAAUGCAACCUUAUUGAAACAGCAUGAACUACUAGGAUUCCCUUUGAACCGACCCUCUGAAGGCAGUCUUACAGGCUGCAUGGUGAUAAAGAAGGGUUACCAACAGAAGAUGGCAUUUAUUUUUCUGAUUUUACACAAGAGGGGGCAAUGGAAGAAAAUUUUAUGGGGACCUGAUUGAAAGCAGAAAAUAAUAUUCAAGCUAUAGAGCAUAUGGUCCUGUGUUCCAAUCUAGCAAAUUUGAGAGGGCACAUAGCAAAGCUGUUUUCAUGACCCCUGCUCACAUGCCAUGCCAGCCAUCCUCAUUACCAGGAUCUAUAGAUUACCAGCUGAUGACUUGGUUCAAGGAAGCAAUUCAUUCAUUUCAUUCAUAUAUCCAUUCAUUCAUCAGCUGCUGGGGUAAGAAGAUGAAUAAAACAUGGGAUCCAACAGGGCUGAGAUUACACUAAAGCCAAUGAGAUCAGUGGUGGAAGUACAGGGUCUGAGCCUGUCUUUAUUUAAAAGUUUGAUAUAUUUUCAUCACGCAUG
Molecule: long non-coding RNA, 1898 nt
Filed under: Equus caballus (horse)
Lineage: Eukaryota; Metazoa; Chordata; Mammalia; Perissodactyla; Equidae
Description: lncRNA (ENSECAG00000049936.1)
Source: RNAcentral